UACGGGGGAUGCAAGCGUUAUCCGGAAUUAUUGGGCGUAAAGCGUUCCGAUCGGUGGUUUAGUGUGUCUAUAAUGAAAGACCGAAGCUUAACUUCGUGUUUGUUGUAGAAACUACUAAACUGGAAGAGCAAAGAGGUGGCUAGAACUCUGCAAGUACCGGUGAAAUGGGUUGAUAUGCAGGGGAAUACCCAAAGCGAAAGCAGGCCACUGGGUGCUUCUUGACACUGCUAGGACGAAAGCGUGGGGAGAGAAUGGG
Molecule: ribosomal RNA, 256 nt
Filed under: uncultured bacterium
Lineage: Bacteria
Description: partial 16S ribosomal RNA
Rfam family: Bacterial small subunit ribosomal RNA
Source: RNAcentral